Molecule: ribosomal RNA, 497 nt
Filed under: uncultured bacterium
Lineage: Bacteria
Description: partial 16S ribosomal RNA
Rfam family: Bacterial small subunit ribosomal RNA
Source: RNAcentral
GAUGAACGCUGGCGGCGUGCCUAAUACAUGCAAGUCGAGCGAACGGACGAGAAGCUUGCUUCUCUGAUGUUAGCGGCGGACGGGUGAGUAACACGUGGAUAACCUACCUAUAAGACUGGGAUAACUUCGGGAAACCGGAGCUAAUACCGGAUAAUAUUUUGAACCGCAUGGUUCAAAAGUGAAAGACGGUCUUGCUGUCACUUAUAGAUGGAUCCGCGCUGCAUUAGCUAGUUGGUAAGGUAACGGCUUACCAAGGCAACGAUGCAUAGCCGACCUGAGAGGGUGAUCGGCCACACUGGAGCUGAGACAGGGUCCAGACUCCUACGGGAGGCAGCAGUAGGGAAUCUUCCGCAAUGGGCGAAAGCCUGACGGAGCAACGCCGCGUGAGUGAUGAAGGUCUUCGGAUCGUAAAACUCUGUUAUUAGGGAAGAACAUAUGUGUAAGUAACUGUGCACAUCUUGACGGUACCUAAUCAGAAAGCCACGGCUAACUACGUG